GUGGGCAACUGCGCGAAAACAAGAGCCUUGUUUUCUUUUGCAUUCCAAACUUGCAAAACAAUGCAACAAUGAUUGAGAAUAUCGUUGCUGCAGUUUUCACUGUCUAUGGUAUUAAUUAUUCCGGAUAUUAUCUGACUAACUUGGCAUGUCACCUGAGCCGUGUACUCAGAGGUGCCAAAUCUGAGGCCCUUCUGGAGAGAGACCAUAAACAGAUUGCUUUAUCAGAUGUGGCAUGUCAGACUCAGGGAGAGCUGUUCCCAGCCC
Long non-coding RNA from Oenanthe melanoleuca, 264 nucleotides. RefSeq lists it as uncharacterized. The record is from RefSeq and is a predicted model, not a curated record. The transcript has 3 exons. Lineage: Eukaryota; Metazoa; Chordata; Aves; Passeriformes; Muscicapidae.